Molecule: ribosomal RNA, 253 nt
Filed under: uncultured prokaryote
Description: partial 16S ribosomal RNA
Rfam family: Bacterial small subunit ribosomal RNA
Source: RNAcentral
UACGGAGGAUCCAAGCGUUAUCCGGAAUCAUUGGGUUUAAAGGGUCCGUAGGCGGUUUUAUAAGUCAGUGGUGAAAUCCGGCGGCUCAACUGUCGAACUGCCAUUGAUACUGUAGAACUUGAAUUACUGUGAAGUAACUAGAAUAUGUAGUGUAGCGGUGAAAUGCUUAGAUAUUACAUGGAAUACCAAUUGCGAAGGCAGGUUACUAACAUUAUAUUGACGCUGAUGGACGAAAGCGUGGGGAGCGAACAGG